Molecule: RNA transcript, 3004 nt
Organism: Cornus florida
Lineage: Eukaryota; Viridiplantae; Streptophyta; Magnoliopsida; Cornales; Cornaceae
Gene name: pentatricopeptide repeat-containing protein At5g47360
Exons: 2
Source: RefSeq, a predicted model, not a curated record
ACUGCGCAAGUCAGUUAAGUCACAAGACCCAGCAAACCGACCGCAAUCUGACCCACUUCUAGGAGGGACAGCCACCGCAAUGGGUCUGGCCCUAUUCUCAAAAUAGGCAGACCCUACUCCUCACUCCAUAAUCGCUUCUGAAGAAGCAAUAUUAGCAACAAUUUGAUAAUCAUCUCCUUCAAGUCUCUUCGUCGUCAAGUCGGCGAUUAGAAUCAUCUGAAGUUCUGAACUACGCCUUCAUACCCACAGAGACAUUCAAUCAAGUAACACCGGUAAUAAGGAACAAGAAGGAGUACCUGAGGUCGCUUGGAUUCAAUCUUGGAAGCUCUGCAAUCUCUCUCCGAUGUCCGCAUAGUCAAAGGUAGUUUCAUAUUCAUAUUCUGGUUGACUUUUUCCAACAAUUUUAGGGUUUAAGGUUUUGGGCAACCCAUUUUCAGUAAUACCGAAAAUUUAUCAGCAAAAUCAAUGGCCAGUUCUUCAAUCCCUCGAUUCCUCUCAUCGGGGGUUCGAUUAAAAAACCCUACUUUUUCACUUCCAUUCACAACUCUUUCAUCUGCAGAGAAAUACUGGACCCACUUGCAGAAAAAUGUUUCAAACCCAGAAAAGGCUCUAAACACAGUUGGGGCACCAUUGGACAUUUCAUGUGUCAAUGAGGUCUUACAGAGAUGUGCUCCUAAUCAACCUCUUCUGGGUCUUAGGUUCUUUGUUUGGGCUGGCCUGCAAGCUAACUAUAGACACAGCUCAUAUAUGUAUGCAAAAGUGUGUAAAUUAUUCAGAAUUAAUCGAAAUCGGCAAGUUUUUGAUGAUGUUAUUGAAGCUUAUAGGGUUGAGGGUUGUUUGGUAAGUGUUAAGACAUUUAAGGUUCUUUUGAAUUUGUGUAAGGAAGCUAAGCUUGCUGACGAGGGUUUGUGGGUAUUGAGGAAAAUGAAGGAAUUUAAUUGUCGGCCUGACACAACGGCAUAUAAUGUUGUUAUUAGAUUGUUCUGUGAGAAGGGUAAAAUGGAUGUUGCAGCAGUGUUGAUGAGGGAGAUGGGUUUGAUUGAUCUUUAUCCAGAUAUGAUUACAUAUGUUGCAAUGAUUAAGGGAUUUUGUGAUGUGGGUAGGUUGGAAGAUGCUUGUGGACUGUUUAAGGUUAUGAGGAGGCAUGGAUGUUCACCCAAUGUGGUAGCAUAUGCAACACUUGUUGAUGGGCUUUGUAGGUUUUCAAAAGUGGAGAAGGCAUUAGAGUUGUUGGAGGAGAUGGAGAAAGAGGGUGGGGAGUGUAAACCAAAUACUGUUACAUAUACGGCCGUGAUUCAGAGGCUUUGUGAGGAUGGUCGGUCAAUGGAGGCACUGCAAGUUUUGGAUCAAAUGGUGGUUUGUGGAUGCGCUCCAAAUCGUGUCACUCUCAGUACUUUAAUUAAGGGCCUUUGCACAGAGGGGUGCUUAGAGGAGACUUAUAAGCUGAUUGAUAAAGUCGUUGCAGGAGGCAGUGUUUCUAAUGGUGAGUGCUAUAGUUCUCUUAUGCUGUCACUUUUGCAGAAUCAAAAAUUGGAUGAGGCAGAGAAGCUUUCUAGAAGAAUGUUGGCCAGUGAUGUGAAGCCUGAUGGUUUGGCUUCUAGCACUCUGAUAAGAAGGCUUUGUUUGGAGGGGCGGGUGUUAGAUGGGUUUCGCUUUUAUGAUGAAAUUGAAAAGUUGGGAUACUUAACUUCGAUUGAUUCUGAUAUUUAUUCCAUUCUUUUAGCUGGACUUUGUCGGGAAAGUCAUUUGGUGGAAGCUGCAACACUUGCAAGGUUGAUGAUUAAGAAGGGAAUACAACCAAAAACUCCUUAUGUGGACGAUAUAAUUGAAUAUCUGAAGAAUUCUGGAAAUAUGGAGCUAAUGGCACAUAUUGCUAGGAUGGGAAGGUCAUGAUGAACAAAAGACCACGUUCAACAAGACCCUAAGAUCCUUCUUUUGUAAUUUAACAGCUUGCAAUAAAGGGGAUCGUGGUACAAACAUUUUUCACAGGGAAUAUCCUGCAUACUUGAAUAUGAUGUCGGGAAGUUUCAAAUUAGACUAUUGUAAAUCCGGGAAAUUGUUCCAUCAUUUCCCUCGGAGUUGUUGCAUAGACAAGCAAACAAACAAGUUUAGACAUUAUUUCCUACUGGUUUUGGUAUAAUUGAUAUCAAGUAGUGGAGUGUCCUGAAUCAAGUAUGCAGAAAUAAAUAAUUGAUUGAACCGUUUCUGGGAUGAUUAAUGCUAUGCAAGUCUAGAGGUUGGGAGAAGAAAGCAAUGGCUUUUUCUGUAUCAUUUGUAGAAUUAGAGUUGGCAUUAAUAAAUGGUAGAAACAAAGAGGAUCAUCUAACUAAAACAUCAUGCUUCUUCAGUAUCAGCAAGCUUGUGUUGGCCCAACCUUGCAUCCCUCCUCUGAAUGCUGUUAGAAGCUCAAUGUUUGGGUUGAUGCAAAAUUAAAACAUCUCUGCGACAAAUGACAUUAUGAGAUGCUCUACUUUUACAGUUUCCUUGGCCGAGCCAUAGACAUGUUUUACUGCUGAUUAUGAUAUUCAAUCAUUAGCAUAUUGAGGACUGCAUAAUGUCAAAGGAUGUUGAGGCUGAAAUUCGCGCAGUCCGAUACGAUACCGUUUUCCUGCAAGGAAGAGAGGAGAAGAUCGAUGAACCUUGACGGCACCGGUGUGGUGCCUGCCAAGAGCUCUCCGACGAUGAAAUUAGUCACGGAGGUCUAAAAAGAAGGCAGGGAUUAAUAAUAGUUUUUACGUCGUACAUUCUUUAAUGGCUUGAUGCCCUAUUUAUGGCUGUCGAUUGGAAUCAAAAUCGUUCCGCUGAUAUCGAUGGUUGACCUUAUCUUCAGCUUGUGCGAAAUCAUGGGAGAUUUAUUACCAUAUUUGUCGGGAUAUGAUUUAAUCCUUUUGACCUCCUCUAGUUAUAGUAGGAUUAUUCUUACUUGUUGAACCACGUCAGAUUUGAUUUCAUUAUCCUUGAUAAUGAAAUUUAAUCAAUCUUAUCGAGAGUAGGGUAGGUUUAU